GAGCUGUGGUGGGCUCCACCCAGUUCGAGCUUCCCGGCUGCUUUGGUUACCUAAUCAAGCCUGGGCAAUGGCAGGCGCCCCUCCCCCAGCCUCGCUGCCGCCUUGCAGUUUGAUCUCAGACUGCUGUGCUAGCAAUCAGCGAGACUCCGUGGGCGUAGGACCCUCCGAGCCAGAGAACCAUGGAGUCUGGCAGUACCGCCGCCAGUGAGGAGGCACGCAGCCUUCGAGAAUGUGAGCUCUACGUCCAGAAGCAUAACAUUCAAGCGCUGCUCAAAGAUUCUAUUGUGCAGUUGUGCACUGCUCGACCUGAGAGACCCAUGGCAUUCCUCAGGGAAUACUUUGAGAGGUUGGAGAAGGAGGAGGCAAAACAGAUUCAGAAUCUGCAGAAAGCAGGCACUCGUACAGACUCAAGGGAGGAUGAGAUUUCUCCUCCUCCACCCAACCCAGUGGUUAAAGGUAGGAGGCGACGAGGUGCUAUCAGCGCUGAGGUCUACACGGAGGAAGAUGCGGCAUCCUAUGUUAGAAAGGUUAUACCAAAAGAUUACAAGACAAUGGCCGCUUUAGCCAAAGCCAUUGAAAAGAAUGUGCUGUUUUCACAUCUUGAUGAUAAUGAGAGAAGUGAUAUUUUUGAUGCCAUGUUUUCGGUCUCCUUUAUCGCAGGAGAGACUGUGAUUCAGCAAGGUGAUGAAGGGGAUAACUUCUAUGUGAUUGAUCAAGGA
Long non-coding RNA from Homo sapiens (human), 719 nucleotides. NCBI's taxonomy places the organism in Eukaryota, Metazoa, Chordata, Mammalia, Primates, Hominidae. The record is from Ensembl.